GGAUGGGGGUCCAGGCAGCCCCAACCCACCCUCCCGCUUUGGAUCCCCGGGGAUCACCGGACGGACGUUUUCCCGCUCCCCGCCCCGGCCCGGGGAACUGCUUUGGGCGCUCCAGGGCCGGCGAUCCGCGGAAGGCGUCCGGCCUAUCACCCUCGACUCCGACUUUGCAGCUCCCCGCCUGCGCCGUGCUCAUUGCCGGCGCUCCUGAGACGGUUUCCCGAAACUGCCCCCCGAAGGCUCCCCGCCGCGGCCCCGGGGUCCCCCGCAGGAUUCCAGGAGGCGCCGCCGCCGCCGCCACCCGGCGGGCGCAGUGACCCGCUCCCAGGCCCCGGGGCCUCUGCCCCUCCUCCCGGGGAUCCCCUUUCGCCAACAGCCUCCCGGGCCCCGCAGGACACUCCCCUCCGGAGGCCGGGCCUCGUCGGCCCGCCACCGCCCCCGCCUAGCCCCCGGCCGCCCCGCCCGCGCGCCGCGCCGGGAGAGCCCCGGGCCCCGACCCCUCCCCCCGGACGCCCGGCCGGAGAGCGGGACCCGGGCGGCGAGGGUGACUGGGCUGCGGCGCGGGGCCGGGUCCUGGGCAGGGAGGCUCGGCGGCCUCUUUCUUUCUCCGCCCCCGCCCCUUUCUCUCCUUCCUCCUCGCUAGCCCCGCCGGCGGCGGCGGAGUUCGGCACUCUCGCCUCGCCUCCUCCCCCACCCGGGGACCCUCUCCUCUCCCCUCCCCUCCCUCGCCCGCUCCUCCCGCCGCCUCCUCCCUCCCGGAGCGGCUGGCUGCGAGGAGGCGUAACGGAAAGCCCCGGCGGGGGAAGGCUGCGAGCUCGGGGCCGGAGACACAGAGCCGGGCCGGGUAAACUGGGAAGCAGACUCUUGAAUUCACAGCUGGCUUGUGGUUUUUGCAUCUCGUUAAAGCGCACUCAUCAUACAGGUGAUGGCGGUGGACCAUCUCGGCUGAACCCAGCCUCCCAUCCAUUCCCACUGAAAUGUGAACGAAGCCACCUCAAUCCUGUAGACUGGCCCAUCCGGCCACUGCAUGCCACCUCUGACUUGCCCCGUGGGACAGAAGCAUCAUCCAACUAUUCCUUUUGCCCAAAUUCCUAA
This 1092-nucleotide long non-coding RNA is filed under the name Felis catus (domestic cat). RNAcentral's name for it is "LHFPL tetraspan subfamily member 2 (ENSFCAG00000007806.5)". The record is from RNAcentral. Lineage: Eukaryota; Metazoa; Chordata; Mammalia; Carnivora; Felidae.